This 85-nucleotide small nucleolar RNA is filed under the name Plasmodium knowlesi strain H. Its description in RNAcentral is "Plasmodium knowlesi snoRNA PKNH_1334100". It matches the Rfam family "small nucleolar RNA snoR23". The record is from RNAcentral. Lineage: Eukaryota; Apicomplexa; Aconoidasida; Haemosporida; Plasmodiidae.
GUGUAUGAUGAGAAAAAAAAAAAAAUUUAACUUUCGUUCUUCUGCAUUUAACGAAAUGAUGAUGAAUUGUACUCUGACACGGAAA